ACGUAGGGUGCAAGCGUUAAUCGGAAUUACUGGGCGUAAAGCGUGCGCAGGCGGUUAUGUAAGACAGAUGUGAAAUCCCCGGGCUUAACCUGGGAACUGCGUUUGUGACUGUAGGGCUUGAGUGCGGCAGAGGGGGGUGGAAUUCCACGUGUAGCAGUGAAAUGUGUAGAGAUCCGGAGGAACACCAGAGGCGAAGGCGACACCCUGGGCCGUACCUGACGCUAAGACGCGACAGCACGGGGAGCGAACGG
This 251-nucleotide ribosomal RNA is filed under the name uncultured prokaryote. RNAcentral describes it as "partial 16S ribosomal RNA". It matches the Rfam family "Bacterial small subunit ribosomal RNA", at positions 525 to 775 of the family's 1533-position model. The record is from RNAcentral.